AAACCAUAUAGGACAUUGCCAUUCACCUCCAUUUCCUCUAAGAACUGGAAGACUCUGUUGAGGAAGACUCCACAGCCUUUAGAAAAGUGCAGUAACCAAGCCGCUACCAAUGCGGAAGCUUCCUCCUCAAGACUAGCUCUCAUAAGUGUUGAACAAUGGUUCUCAACCUGUGAAUUGUGAACACGUUGGAGUCCAUAUGAUUCUUUCAGACUGGUUGCCUAAGAUCAUCUGCAUGCCAGACCUUGAGGCUAGAAGGCAAGUCUAUAAUAUGGGCCAUACCUUCUGUUGGAUGGACAAGGGAAAAAGGAAGGGUUUGUAUGCAUUCUUUGCUUGUUUGCCCUGCCUUGUCAGCACAUCUAUUUCUUCACUGAAAUUGAAAUCUGCUUCUUUGGGAUUCCAG
This 400-nucleotide long non-coding RNA is filed under the name Cricetulus griseus (Chinese hamster). RNAcentral describes it as "lncRNA (ENSCGRG00015033200.1)". Lineage: Eukaryota; Metazoa; Chordata; Mammalia; Rodentia; Cricetidae. The record is from RNAcentral.